GGGCCCAGUGGAGGGGGGUGGGGCCCGCGAAGGUGGGGACACACUCUUGCUCGCUUCUGCGUCGACCGCGGAAAGUGGGAUUCGUAAGAGGA
Long non-coding RNA from Neltuma alba, 92 nucleotides. RefSeq lists it as uncharacterized. Lineage: Eukaryota; Viridiplantae; Streptophyta; Magnoliopsida; Fabales; Fabaceae. The record is from RefSeq and is a predicted model, not a curated record. The transcript has 3 exons.